CUCCAGUUCGGACACCUGUUGGGGUGACACCUCUACCCCAGCUUAUCGUUUCCAACCCCAACUAUUGCCUGGGAUGAGGCCAAGUGUUUCCCUAAACUUUAUGAUGCCAUACCCGCUCCAGCGACAAUGGCAUCCUGGAUAAAGAAUGAGUGCGCGGAGAGCUGGGAACCCACAACAGCAGCAACAACAUCAGGUACCUUCAAGGCUAUGACAAUAAUCUCAUGUUCCUCACUAUAAAGACUGCCAAAUUCAAGAAGGGAAGUUGGAUAUUGAACCAGUUUGUCGAUGAACAACAUACGAUGAUGCUUGUCCUACCAGUGAUGAGAAGCAGUCUAUUAAGUUCCGGCCUUUGAUGAACUUCGUCUUCUAAAACAGAUUCAGGUUAACUUUUGUAUGAUUAUACUUUUGGUUAUGAUAAAUUAGGUCACCCGAGUCUCAACAUAGAACUUUAUAUGUCAAUAACAAAAUUUAUUCUUCUUCAUCAUCUCAAGUUCACAUUGAUGAAUCUUUUUUGUUUUGUUGAUGAAAUCCUUUUGAUGAA
This is a long non-coding RNA of Papaver somniferum (opium poppy), 541 nucleotides long. RefSeq lists it as uncharacterized. The record is from RefSeq and is a predicted model, not a curated record. The transcript is spliced from 5 exons. NCBI's taxonomy places the organism in Eukaryota, Viridiplantae, Streptophyta, Magnoliopsida, Ranunculales, Papaveraceae.